AGUGGACGCUGGCGGUAGGCCUAACACAUGCAAGUCGAACGGCAGCACAGUAAGAGCUUGCUCUUACGGGUGGCGAGUGGCGGACGGGUGAGGAAUACAUCGGAAUCUACUUUUUCGUGGGGGAUAACGUAGGGAAACUUACGCUAAUACCGCAUACGACCUACGGGUGAAAGCAGGGGAUCUUCGGACCUUGCGCGAUUGAAUGAGCCGAUGUCGGAUUAGCUAGUUGGCGGGGUAAAGGCCCACCAAGGCGACGAUCCGUAGCUGGUCUGAGAGGAUGGUCAGCCACACUGGAACUUAGACACGGUCCAGACUCCUACGGGAGGCAGCAGUGGGGAAUAUUGGACAAUGGGCGCAAGCCUGAUCCAGCCAUACCGCGUGGGUGAAGAAGGCCUUCGGGUUGUAAAGCCCUUUUGUUGGGAAAGAAAAGCAGCAGGUUAAUACCCCGCUGUUCUGACGGUACCCAAAGAAUAAGCACCGGCUAACUUCGUG
RNAcentral lists this ribosomal RNA (492 nucleotides) under uncultured bacterium. RNAcentral describes it as "partial 16S ribosomal RNA". It matches the Rfam family "Bacterial small subunit ribosomal RNA", at positions 29 to 507 of the family's 1533-position model. The record is from RNAcentral.